UUUAAAAUAAAAAAACAGAAAAUCGUAAUUGAGAAUAAGGACUUCCUGCUGCUGUAAUGCAGUGCUGGAGAAAGAGAGAGAGAGAGAGAGAGAGAGAGAGAGAGAGAGAGAGAGAGAGAGAGAGAGAGAAUCGGGGGAUGGGUUGUGGCGCAGUUUAGAAUAAAUCGAAAGUAAGGUGUAUUUCCUCCUUUAGAAGAGGAGAGAAGAUCUACAGAGGUUCGAAUUAUCUCGGAGAUCUUGGCAGCAUCUUGAGUAUCCUCCUUCAUGAUGGAGCCUCAUCACUCCAUAUCUCGGAGUGAAUCUCCUGUCAUAAAUGAUGAAGGAGAACGCCCACUACGUAACCCUCUGCUUAGACACGCAUCAGAACCCGUUUACAGUACUCUAGGAUUUGAUUUUACUGGAAGGUGAGUAAUAAACCGGCCUUCGGCCUUGUGCCUACGACUGCAUCACAGCAGUGUCGUUUAACUUAUGUACUCUAUGCAACAUUUAAGUCUUGAAACCAAAUUGAAGUUACUUAAAUUCAUCUGAAAUUAAGUUUUGCUUAAAAAAAAGCAAAUGCAGAAAGUUGCGAAACUUUUUUAAAGAAAAUGUUACUCAUCAUUUUGUUCGGUGCAGUUGCACUGCUCCACAGGUCAGUGCUGGGGGUAGGAGUCGUGUUAUAUUCCUGCAGCCCACAGACGGCAUUAGGAAUGGUGCAGUAUACUCACGUUUAUCUGCUCCAUGGGGCUGCGUGACUCUGAAGACCACAUCCCUUCAAGCUCUACAGCCUACUUUUAGUACUGGAGGAGAAAAUCCAGAGCACAGCAACAGCUGUCAGAAAAACCAUCAACCCCCUAACAUCCGUACUGCAGGAGAACAUCCAGAGCACAGCUAUUGGAACGAAUCCCCAGACCUUCAAAUCCCUAAUUUCUGUACUGGAGAAAAACAUGCAGAACUCAGCGAUUCGGACGCAUCCCCAGACUUUUCCUGCCCUAACUUCCGUACAGGAGUGAAACAUGCAGAACUUAGCUAUGAGAAAAAAUACACAAACUUUCUACACUCUUACUUCUGUACUGGAGAAAAACAUGCAGAUCUCAGCGAUUCGGACACAUCCCCAGACUUUUCCCGUCCUAACUUCCGUACUGGAAAGAAACAUGCAGAACUUAGCUAUCAGAAAAAAUCCAGAUACUUUCUACACCCUUACUUCCGUACUGGAGAAAAACAUGCAAAUCUCAGCAAAUUGAAAACAUCCCCAGACUUUCCUCGCCCUAACUUCUGUACUGGAAAUAGCAUGAUCUUAAGCUAUAAACUCCUUGCCUUCAGUGCUGGAGAAACGACAAAGGCAGAAAAGGCAGAUGUGAGCAAUCAGGCACAGAAAGAGUAACUGAUCGAAUUUUGUAUAUUUUAAUUGCUGCCAUUUGGUAUUGUUGAUAAUGUUGUUAUCAUAUUACUAUUAAGCACUGUUAACCAUGAUUGUAUGUGACUUUUUAUUAAUAACAUAUAAAGGCAAGGAAAGGCAAGUUUAUUUGAAUUGCACCUUUCAUACAAAAUGGUUAUUCAAAGUGCUUUAGAAAUGAGAAAAUACAAAGAGGAGUCAAAAUAUAAAAACAUGUAACAAUAAAAAUGGAAAUAAAAGAAUACCA
This 1622-nucleotide long non-coding RNA is filed under the name Astyanax mexicanus (Mexican tetra). Its description in RNAcentral is "lncRNA (ENSAMXG00005009415.1)". Lineage: Eukaryota; Metazoa; Chordata; Actinopteri; Characiformes; Acestrorhamphidae. The record is from RNAcentral.